GUGUUUGCGAGAGAACUUUUUCUAACUCCCAAGUAAAGUCUUGUUUCCUAGCUAAAAUAUACUUGGAUGAGUUUAGAACAAAUCCAAAAUGGGAUGUUUCAGCCAUACAAGCUCAUGUUAGAAAGGACACUAUUGUAGAUGUCAGUAGGAGCUAAGUCUAUAGAGCCAAAAGGAAAGCCACAGAGAUCAUUGAAAGAGAUGAAAGGCUACAGUAUGGGAAGCUGGGGGAUUAUGCAGAAAUGAUUGGGAUGAAAAAUGUUGGAAGUCAUGUCAUUUUGCAUUAAUUGUGAAACUUCUCAUGAGGGUCAGUAGCUUGUUUUUAAGAGGAUGUAUAUCAGGUAUCAUGCCCAAAAGGUGGGAUUCUUGUCUGG
RNAcentral lists this long non-coding RNA (371 nucleotides) under Elaeis guineensis (African oil palm). RNAcentral's name for it is "long non-coding RNA (EGUI_LNC059119)". The record is from RNAcentral. Lineage: Eukaryota; Viridiplantae; Streptophyta; Magnoliopsida; Arecales; Arecaceae.